GAUGAACGCUGGCGGCGUGCCUAAUACAUGCAAGUCGAGCGAACAGACGAGGAGCUUGCUCCUCUGACGUUAGCGGCGGACGGGUGAGUAACACGUGGAUAACCUACCUAUAAGACUGGGAUAACUUCGGGAAACCGGAGCUAAUACCGGAUAAUAUAUUGAACCGCAUGGUUCAAUAGUGAAAGACGGUUUUGCUGUCACUUAUAGAUGGAUCCGCGCCGCAUUAGCUAGUUGGUAAGGUAACGGCUUACCAAGGCGACGAUGCGUAGCCGACCUGAGAAGGUGAUCGGCCACACUGGAACUGAGACACGGUCCAGACUCCUACGGGAGGCAGCAGUAGGGAAUCUUCCGCAAUGGGCGAAAGCCUGACGGAGCAACGCCGCGUGAGUGAUGAAGGUCUUCGGAUCGUAAAACUCUGUUAUUAGGGAGGAACAAAUGUGUAAGUAACUAUGCACGUCUUGACGGUACCUAAUCAGAAAGCCACGGCUAACUACGUG
RNAcentral lists this ribosomal RNA (497 nucleotides) under uncultured bacterium. RNAcentral describes it as "partial 16S ribosomal RNA". It matches the Rfam family "Bacterial small subunit ribosomal RNA", at positions 28 to 507 of the family's 1533-position model. The record is from RNAcentral.